GACAGAGGUGCCAAGCGUUAGGCGGAAUCACUGGGCUUAAAGCGUGUGUAGGCGGAUGCCUAAGUACCUUGUGAAAUCCCACGGCUCAACCGUGGAACUGCUGGGUAUACUGGGUGUCUUGGGUCAUCUAGGGGCUGCCGGAACAAAUGGUGGAGCGGUGAAAUGCGUUGAUAUCGGAAGGAACGCCGGUGGCGAAAGCGCACAACUGGUCCUCUUCUGACGCUGAGGCGCGAAAGCCAGGGGAGCAAACGGG
This 253-nucleotide ribosomal RNA is filed under the name uncultured bacterium. RNAcentral describes it as "partial 16S ribosomal RNA". It matches the Rfam family "Bacterial small subunit ribosomal RNA", at positions 524 to 776 of the family's 1533-position model. The record is from RNAcentral.